Molecule: ribosomal RNA, 539 nt
Filed under: uncultured archaeon
Lineage: Archaea
Description: bacterial SSU rRNA
Rfam family: Archaeal small subunit ribosomal RNA
Source: RNAcentral
CCAGCCGCCGCGGUAACACCGGCAGCUCUAGUGGUAACAAUUUUAUUGGGCCUAAAGCGUCCGUAGCCGGUUUAAUAAGUCUCUGGUGAAAUCCUGCAGCUUAACUGUGGGAAUUGCUGGAGAUACUAUUAGACUUGAGACCGGGAGAGGUUAGAGGUACUCCCAGGGUAGAGGUGAAAUUCUGUAAUCCUGGGAGGACCGCCUGUUGCGAAGGCGUCUAACUGGAACGGUUCUGACGGUGAGGGACGAAAGUUAGGGGCGCGAACCGGAUUAGAUACCCGGGUAGUCCUAACUGUAAACGAUGCGGACUUGGUGUUGGGGUGGCUUUGAGCUGCUUCAGUGCCGAAGGGAAGCUGUUAAGUCCGCCGCCUGGGAAGUACGGUCGCAAGACUGAAACUUAAGGAAUUGGCGGGGGAGCACCACAACGCGUGGAGCCUGCCGGUUUAAUUGGAUUCAACGCCGGACAUCUCACCAGAGGCGACAGCUGUAUGAUAGCCAGGUUGAUGACUUUGCUUGACUAGCUGAGAAGAGGUGCAUGG